CCGAUUAGGUUUUCUCGGGAAGGUUUUUAACGAGGCGGCAAGGGGGUCACCUGGAGACGUUUACAGCGCAAGUGCAUCAUGUCCGCCUCUCCAUAAAUUCUCCGAGCCAGACACGAUACAUGGACUGGAUUAGUGUCAUCUCCAAGUGAAUGUAAAGGCUACGACCAUCUCCAAGUGAAUGUAAAGGCUACGACCAUCU
Molecule: long non-coding RNA, 199 nt
Filed under: Nicotiana benthamiana
Lineage: Eukaryota; Viridiplantae; Streptophyta; Magnoliopsida; Solanales; Solanaceae
Description: long non-coding RNA (NBEN_LNC034325)
Source: RNAcentral